Long non-coding RNA from Vigna radiata var. radiata (mung bean), 387 nucleotides. RefSeq lists it as uncharacterized. Lineage: Eukaryota; Viridiplantae; Streptophyta; Magnoliopsida; Fabales; Fabaceae. The transcript has 2 exons. The record is from RefSeq and is a predicted model, not a curated record.
GAGAAUGGAAAUAGAAAUGGAUAGAGAGAAAGAAAGCCCAAUAAAAUGAAAAGGUUGAGCCCAAAUUGGAAAUGAGAAAAAGGGGUGGAGGUGGUGGUGGUGGCUGGGCAACGGAAAGAAAGAGAUAUUUGGUAUCUAAGGAUGGGUGGUGCACUGUGGGGGACGCGGGUGAUGGAGAUCGUGAAGAAGCCAAUGCUGAGAAGCGCCUCCUCCGCCGCGUUUGGCAGGAUCAUUCAAUUACUCACUCCUUUUUUCCUUCAAAUCCUAUUUGUAACCCUCAAAUAUCCUACUCCAUCUUUACUUUUACAGAUUGCUUUCUAAUAUAUUCUAUGCUUGAAUUCUAUCUCUUAUCAAUCUAGCUAUGCCGUGCCUGCCAUACUCUUGUUA